GACGAACGCUGGCGGCGUGCCUAAUACAUGCAAGUAGAACGCACAGUUUAUACCGUAGCUUGCUACACCAUAGACUGUGAGUUGCGAACGGGUGAGUAACGCGUAGGUAACCUGCCUGGUAGCGGGGGAUAACUAUUGGAAACGAUAGCUAAUACCGCAUAAUAUUAAUUAUUGCAUGAUAAUUAAUUGAAAGGUGCAAUUGCACCACUACCAGAUGGACCUGCGUUGUAUUAGCUAGUAGGUGAGGUAACGGCUCACCUAGGCGACGAUACAUAGCCGACCUGAGAGGGUGAUCGGCCACACUGGGACUGAGACACGGCCCAGACUCCUACGGGAGGCAGCAGUAGGGAAUCUUCGGCAAUGGACGAAAGUCUGACCGAGAAACGCCGCGUGAGUGAAGAAGGGUUUCGGAUCGUAAAGCUCUGUUGUAAGAGAAGAACGGGUGUGAGAGUGGAAAGUUCACACUGUGACGGUAUCUUACCAGAAAGGGACGGCUAACUACGUG
RNAcentral lists this ribosomal RNA (505 nucleotides) under uncultured bacterium. RNAcentral's name for it is "partial 16S ribosomal RNA". It matches the Rfam family "Bacterial small subunit ribosomal RNA", at positions 28 to 507 of the family's 1533-position model. The record is from RNAcentral.